GAUGAACGCUGGCGGCGUGCCUAAUACAUGCAAGUCGAGCGAACAGACGAGGAGCUUGCUCCUCUGACGUUAGCGGCGGACGGGUGAGUAACACGUGGAUAACCUACCUAUAAGACUGGGAUAACUUCGGGAAACCGGAGCUAAUACCGGAUAAUAUAUUGAACCGCGUGGUUCAAUAGUGAAAGACGGUUUUGCUGUCACUUAUAGAUGGAUCCGCGCCGCAUUAGCUAGUUGGUAAGGUAACGGCUUACCAAGGCAACGAUGCGUAGCCGACCUGAGAGGGUGAUCGGCCACACUGGAACUGAGACACGGUCCAGACUCCUACGGGAGGCAGCAGUAGGGAAUCUUCCGCAAUGGGCGAAAGCCUGACGGAGCAACGCCGCGUGAGUGAUGAAGGUCUUCGGAUCGUAAAACUCUGUUAUUAGGGAAGAACAAAUGAGUAAGUAACUAUGCACGUCUUGACGGUACCUAAUCAGAAAGCCACGGCUAACUACGUG
Molecule: ribosomal RNA, 497 nt
Filed under: uncultured bacterium
Lineage: Bacteria
Description: partial 16S ribosomal RNA
Rfam family: Bacterial small subunit ribosomal RNA
Source: RNAcentral